CCUACGGGUGGCAGCCGUGGGGAAUAUUGCACAAUGGUGGAAACCCUGAUGCAGCGACGCCGCGUGAGUGAAGAAGUAAUUCGUUACGUAAAGCUCUAUCAGCAGGGAAUAAACACUGACCUUACGGUCCGCAGACGGUACCUGAGUAAGAAGCACAGGCUAACUACGUGCCAUCAGCCGCGGAAAUACGUAGAGGGCACACUUGAUCCGGAUUUACCGGGUGUAAAGGGAGCGUAGACGGUGCGCCAAGUCUGGAGUGAAAUGCCGCAGCUUAACUGGGGAACUGAUUUGGAAACUGGCGAACUAGAGUGCGGGAGGGGUAAGCGGAAGUCCUAGUGUAGCGGUGAAAUGCGUAGAGAUUAGGAGGAACACCGGGGGCGAAGGCGGCUUACUGGACCGUAACUGACGUUGAGGCUCGAAAGCGUGGGGAGCAAACAGGAUUAGAUACCCUUGUAGGC
This 458-nucleotide ribosomal RNA is filed under the name uncultured bacterium. Its description in RNAcentral is "partial 16S ribosomal RNA". It matches the Rfam family "Bacterial small subunit ribosomal RNA", at positions 338 to 795 of the family's 1533-position model. The record is from RNAcentral.